UACGUAGGGUGCGAGCGUUAAUCGGAAUUACUGGGCGUAAAGCGUGCGCAGGCGGUUCUCCAAGUCCGUUGUGAAAGCCCCGAGCUUAACUUGGGAAUUGCGCUCGAAACUACGAUGCUGGAGUGUGGCAGAGGAAGGUGGAAUUCCACGUGUAGCGGUGAAAUGCAUAGAGAUGUGGAGGAGCACCGAUGGCGAAGGCAGCCUUCUGGGCCAACACUGACGCUCAUGCACGAAAGCGUGGGGAGCAAACAGG
This 253-nucleotide ribosomal RNA is filed under the name uncultured bacterium. Its description in RNAcentral is "partial 16S ribosomal RNA". It matches the Rfam family "Bacterial small subunit ribosomal RNA", at positions 524 to 776 of the family's 1533-position model. The record is from RNAcentral.